GAUAGAUCUUAUGAUAUCCUGUAUUCUAUUUACGACUUUCUCUUUGCUCGUUAUUACUUUUUAUUGUAAUGAAAACUCAAACAACAUUCACGAUAUCAAAAAAAUAAAAUAGAAUGAUAAAAUAAUUCAAGAUGAGGUCCAAAAUGUCUAUGGUCAUGACUUACGAUGCAGACGGAGGCUUCUGUUGAGUCAACGAAUAACAGGAUGUCAUAAAAAUUAAAUGUGGUGUCAAAAGA
RNAcentral lists this long non-coding RNA (236 nucleotides) under Elaeis guineensis (African oil palm). Its description in RNAcentral is "long non-coding RNA (EGUI_LNC051611)". Lineage: Eukaryota; Viridiplantae; Streptophyta; Magnoliopsida; Arecales; Arecaceae. The record is from RNAcentral.